This 253-nucleotide ribosomal RNA is filed under the name uncultured bacterium. RNAcentral describes it as "partial 16S ribosomal RNA". It matches the Rfam family "Bacterial small subunit ribosomal RNA", at positions 524 to 776 of the family's 1533-position model. The record is from RNAcentral.
UACGAAGGGGGCGAGCGUUGUUCGGAUUUACUGGGCGGAAAGGGCGCGUAGGCGGUCUUGAAAGUCAGGCGUGAAAGCCCCGGGCUUAACCUGGGAAUUGCGCUUGAUACUCUGAGACUGGAGUACGGGAGAGGAGAGUGGAAUUCCCAGUGUAGAGGUGAAAUUCGUAGAUAUUGGGAAGAACACCAGUGGCGAAGGCGGCUCUCUGGACCGUAACUGACGCUGAGGCGCGAAAGCGUGGGGAGCAAACAGG